Molecule: non-coding RNA, 501 nt
Organism: Manacus vitellinus (golden-collared manakin)
Lineage: Eukaryota; Metazoa; Chordata; Aves; Passeriformes; Pipridae
Source: the annotation of a RefSeq genome assembly
AACCGGAGGGCCGUGACCCUGGUGGAGUCCGGGGGUGACCUCAAGGCCCCGGGGGAGUCCCUGCGGCUCCUCUGCCGCGCCUCCGGCUUCACCUUCGGGGACUACACCAUGUACUGGGUGCGCCAGAGCCCCGGGAAGGGGCUGGAGUGGGUCGCUGGGAUCGAUGAUGAUGGUGGUAGGACCAGAUACGCGCCGUCGGUGCAGGGCCGGUUCACCAUCACCAGGGACAACGGGCAGAGCUCGGUGACGCUGCAGAUGAACAACCUCAGGGAGGAGGAUUCCGCCACCUAUUUCUGCGCCAGAAAUGCUUAUACUGGUGGUGGUUGGAGUGCUGGUGGUGGUAUCGAUGCCCUUGACGGGGUCCCCACCUGUCCCCAAAGCCCAGACCCUCCCCCCAAACCUCCACUCUUUGGACCCAGUCAUCAGAUUAAUUCAACAGAAUCAACCAAUAAAUUAAUUAACAGGACGCCUGUGAUUAAUUCCAGUGGCUCAACCAAUUAA